This 253-nucleotide ribosomal RNA is filed under the name uncultured bacterium. RNAcentral describes it as "partial 16S ribosomal RNA". It matches the Rfam family "Bacterial small subunit ribosomal RNA", at positions 524 to 776 of the family's 1533-position model. The record is from RNAcentral.
UACGGAGGGUGCGAGCGUUACCCGGAUUUACUGGGUGUAAAGGGCGUGUAGGCGGUCUCUCAAGUCCGAUGCUAAAGACCGAAGCUCAACUUCGGGGGUGCGUUGGAUACUGUGAGGCUAGACGGUCGGAGAGGGUAGCGGAAUUUCCGGAGUAGCGGUGAAAUGCGCAGAUACCGGAAGGAACGGCAAUAGCGAAGGCAGCUACCUGGACGAUUGGUGACGCUGAGGCGCGAAAGCGUGGGGAGCAACCCGG